CAGCCUCCCACUCUCUCUCCUAUCUUCCUCUCCUCUCAAAUCUCUCUGACUUCUCUCUAAAACUUCUCCCUUCUCUCUAACAUUUCUCAUUUGUUCUCUCUUUCUUCUCUACCGCUGUCGCCGUCGCUAUUUUUUUUUUCUUUCUCCGCCGCCUCUCCUCAUCUUCCUUUUCUGGUCUCGCCGACGGCGGAGGGCGCCGCUGCCUCCGCCUCCUCUCUUCUCCCACUACGAACAGAGAAAGGAAAACAGAAGGAAGAAAAGGUAUAAACAUGGAAACCCCUCUUUCUACUUUAGUUUUUUGUUUUGACUUCGAUUCGAGCUUGCAUGUUGUCUGCAAACCCUGAUCUGUGGAUUUACGAUCUGAGUUUUUUUUAUUUUUAUAUUCUUUCCCUGAUUUAUGUUGUCUUUAUGUUGGUUUCUGGUUUCAAUAAAGAUGGGGAUCGGUGGAGCCGGAGAGGCUGAAGCUGGAAACAAAAAUAAAAGUCUCCGUCGACGACGGACUCGCCGGAGCAAAGGACGAGAAAGGUAAAAAGUUGAACCCUUUAUUUAUUCUGAUUUUACUUGGUUGAUGAUGGUAGUUUUGUUUGAUUAGGUCACUUGGAAUAAAAUCUGGACUAUUUGGUUGUUACGAUGAGUUUAGUAAUCUGAACUUUCUAAAAAUUGCCCAUUUGUUGGAAAUGUUAUUAUUUGGUGUCAUCCUUGGUAAAAUUUCAGCAACUUGUUAAGUUUUGAAUCUUAUUUUAGGGCUUGUUAGCACGUUUACCAACAUCAAACGUUCCCUUGAUUAGUCAUAAUGAAUAUUCGAGGAUGAUUUUUAAGAGAGUAUAAGUGCCACAAAAUGUAUGUAUGAAUAUUGCAUGAAUGCUUUUGAAUAGGAAUGUUUGGAUGAUUACCUUUGAAUCGAAGCUUUUUUUGUCGUGUUUCAUGUGGCAGCCCCUUUGCGAGUGGCGAUAAAACGCAUGUCGGCCAAAAUUUUUGUUCUUAGGGUAGUCCCUUGCGAAUGACGACAAAGUGAAUGACAGUAGAAACAGUUGUACUUAGGUUUAGCUCAUAUUUUUGUAUCGUGCUGUAAUAAUUUUCUUUUCUUCUUUAUUUUGGACUUGGACUUGGGGUGCAUGAAUUUUUUUCGUCCAAAACCAUUGCACCUCCCCCUUUUUCCUCUUGUUUGUCCAUUUAAAUCAAGAAAAGGGGCUGCCACCUCUCCUCUCCCCCAAUAGAACUUUGCAACGUUUCUUGAAACAAAACAAGAGGUGGCAGUCUCUUAAUUAAUAACAGUAGCGGGCCCC
RNAcentral lists this long non-coding RNA (1286 nucleotides) under Linum usitatissimum (flax). RNAcentral's name for it is "long non-coding RNA (LUSI_LNC005137)". Lineage: Eukaryota; Viridiplantae; Streptophyta; Magnoliopsida; Malpighiales; Linaceae. The record is from RNAcentral.